UACGUAGGGUGCAAGCGUUGUCCGGAAUUAUUGGGCGUAAAGAGCUCGUAGGCGGUUUGUCGCGUCGAAUGUGAAAUCCCGGGGCUCAACCUCGGGUCUGCAGUCGAUACGAGCAAACUAGAGUGUUGCAGGGGAGACUGGAAUUCCUGGUGUAGCGGUGAAAUGCGCAGAUAUCAGGAGGAACACCGGUGGCGAAGGCGGGUCUCUGGGCAACAACUGACGCUGAGGAGCGAAAGCUAGGGGAGCGAACAGG
This 253-nucleotide ribosomal RNA is filed under the name uncultured bacterium. RNAcentral's name for it is "partial 16S ribosomal RNA". It matches the Rfam family "Bacterial small subunit ribosomal RNA", at positions 524 to 776 of the family's 1533-position model. The record is from RNAcentral.